RNAcentral lists this ribosomal RNA (596 nucleotides) under Salmonella enterica subsp. enterica serovar Heidelberg. RNAcentral describes it as "partial 23S ribosomal RNA". It matches the Rfam family "Bacterial large subunit ribosomal RNA", at positions 897 to 1495 of the family's 2925-position model. RNAcentral also lists the same sequence under 2 other names. The record is from RNAcentral. Lineage: Bacteria; Pseudomonadati; Pseudomonadota; Gammaproteobacteria; Enterobacterales; Enterobacteriaceae.
CGGGGGUAGAGCACUGUUUCGGCUAGGGGGCCAUCCCGGCUUACCAACCCGAUGCAAACUGCGAAUACCGGAGAAUGUUAUCACGGGAGACACACGGCGGGUGCUAACGUCCGUCGUGAAGAGGGAAACAACCCAGACCGCCAGCUAAGGUCCCAAAGUCAUGGUUAAGUGGGAAACGAUGUGGGAAGGCCCAGACAGCCAGGAUGUUGGCUUAGAAGCAGCCAUCAUUUAAAGAAAGCGUAAUAGCUCACUGGUCGAGUCGGCCUGCGCGGAAGAUGUAACGGGGCUAAACCAUGCACCGAAGCUGCGGCAGCGACACUGUGUGUUGUUGGGUAGGGGAGCGUUCUGUAAGCCUGUGAAGGUGUGUCGUGAGGCAUGCUGGAGGUAUCAGAAGUGCGAAUGCUGACAUAAGUAACGAUAAAGCGGGUGAAAAGCCCGCUCGCCGGAAGACCAAGGGUUCCUGUCCAACGUUAAUCGGGGCAGGGUGAGUCGACCCCUAAGGCGAGGCCGAAAGGCGUAGUCGAUGGGAAACGGGUUAAUAUUCCCGUACUUGGUGUUACUGCGAAGGGGGGACGGAGAAGGCUAUGUUGGCCGGG